RNAcentral lists this ribosomal RNA (1372 nucleotides) under uncultured bacterium. RNAcentral's name for it is "bacterial SSU rRNA". It matches the Rfam family "Bacterial small subunit ribosomal RNA", at positions 28 to 1381 of the family's 1533-position model. The record is from RNAcentral.
GAUGAACGCUGGCGGCGUGCCUAAUACAUGCGAGUCGAGCGAACGGACGAGAAGCUUGCUUCUCUGAUGUUAGCGGCGGACGGGUGAGUAACACGUGGAUAACCUACCUAUAAGACUGGGAUAACUUCGGGAAACCGGAGCUAAUACCGGAUAAUAUUUUGAACCGCAUGGUUCAAAAGUGAAAGACGGUCUUGCUGUCACUUAUAGAUGGAUCCGCGCUGCAUUAGCUAGUUGGUAAGGUAACGGCUUACCAAGGCAACGAUGCAUAGCCGACCUGAGAGGGUGAUCGGCCACACUGGAACUGAGACACGGUCCAGACUCCUACGGGAGGCAGCAGUAGGGAAUCUUCCGCAAUGGGCGAAAGCCUGACGGAGCAACGCCGCGUGAGUGAUGAAGGUCUUCGGAUCGUAAAACUCUGUUAUUAGGGAAGAACAUAUGUGUAAGUAACUGUGCACAUCUUGACGGUACCUAAUCAGAAAGCCACGGCUAACUACGUGCCAGCAGCCGCGGUAAUACGUAGGUGGCAAGCGUUAUCCGGAAUUAUUGGGCGUAAAGCGCGCGUAGGCGGUUUUUUAAGUCUGAUGUGAAAGCCCACGGCUCAACCGUGGAGGGUCAUUGGAAACUGGAAAACUUGAGUGCAGAAGAGGAAAGUGGAAUUCCAUGUGUAGCGGUGAAAUGCGCAGAGAUAUGGAGGAACACCAGUGGCGAAGGCGACUUUCUGGUCUGUAACUGACGCUGAUGUGCGAAAGCGUGGGGAUCAAACAGGAUUAGAUACCCUGGUAGUCCACGCCGUAAACGAUGAGUGCUAAGUGUUAGGGGGUUUCCGCCCCUUAGUGCUGCAGCUAACGCAUUAAGCACUCCGCCUGGGGAGUACGACCGCAAGGUUGAAACUCAAAGGAAUUGACGGGGAUCCGCACAAGCGGUGGAGCAUGUGGUUUAAUUCGAAGCAACGCGAAGAACCUUACCAAAUCUUGACAUCCUUUGACAACUCUAGAGAUAGAGCCUUCCCCUUCGGGGGACAAAGUGACAGGUGGUGCAUGGUUGUCGUCAGCUCGUGUCGUGAGAUGUUGGGUUAAGUCCCGCAACGAGCGCAACCCUUAAGCUUAGUUGCCAUCAUUAAGUUGGGCACUCUAAGUUGACUGCCGGUGACAAACCGGAGGAAGGUGGGGAUGACGUCAAAUCAUCAUGCCCCUUAUGAUUUGGGCUACACACGUGCUACAAUGGACAAUACAAAGGGCAGCGAAACCGCGAGGUCAAGCAAAUCCCAUAAAGUUGUUCUCAGUUCGGAUUGUAGUCUGCAACUCGACUACAUGAAGCUGGAAUCGCUAGUAAUCGUAGAUCAGCAUGCUACGGUGAAUACGUUCCCGGGUCU